This 469-nucleotide ribosomal RNA is filed under the name uncultured bacterium. RNAcentral describes it as "partial 16S ribosomal RNA". It matches the Rfam family "Bacterial small subunit ribosomal RNA", at positions 28 to 507 of the family's 1533-position model. The record is from RNAcentral.
GACGAACGCUGGCGGCGUGCUUAACACAUGCAAGUCGAACGGAAAGGCCCUGCUUUUGGGGGGUGCUCGAGUGGCGAACGGGUGAGAAACACGUGAGUAACCUGCCCUUGACUGUGGGAUAACUUCAGGAAACUGGGGCUAAUAGCGGAUAGGAGCUCCUGCUGCAUGGGGGGGGUUGGAAAGUUUUGGCGGGUGGGGGUGGACGCGCGGCUUUUCAGCUUGUUGGGGGGGUAGUGGCUUAACAAGGCUUUGACGGGUAGCCGGGCUGCGGGGGUGACCGGCCACAUUGGGGCUGGGAGACGGCCCCGACUCCUACGGGGGGGAGCAGGGGGGGAAAUUGCACAAUGGGGGCGAGCCCGAUGCAGCGACGCCGCGUGGGGGAGGACGGGCUUCGGGUUGUAAAAUCCGUUCGCUCGGGUCGAAGCGGUUUGUGACGGUGACUGGAUAAGAAGCACCGGCUAACUCCGUG